This 550-nucleotide ribosomal RNA is filed under the name uncultured Chlorophyta. Its description in RNAcentral is "SSU rRNA". It matches the Rfam family "Eukaryotic small subunit ribosomal RNA", at positions 595 to 1155 of the family's 1831-position model. Lineage: Eukaryota; Viridiplantae; Chlorophyta. The record is from RNAcentral.
UAGCGUAUAUUUAAGUUGUUGCAGUUAAAAAGCUCGUGGUUGGAUUUCGGUUAAGAGCGACCGGUCCGCCGUUUGGUGUGCACUGGUUGGUUUUAACUUCCUGUAGAGGACGUGCUCUGGGUUUAACGGUCUGGACUCGGAGUCUACGUGGUUACUUUGAAAAAAUUAGAGUGUUCAAAGCGGGCUUACGCUUGAAUAUUUCAGCAUGGAAUAACACUAUAGGACUCCUGUCCUAUUUCGUUGGUCUCGGGACGGGAGUAAUGAUUAAGAGGAACAGUUGGGGGCAUUCGUAUUUCAUUGUCAGAGGUGAAAUUCUUGGAUUUAUGAAAGACGAACUUCUGCGAAAGCAUUUGCCAAGGAUGUUUUCAUUAAUCAAGAACGAAAGUUGGGGGCUCGAAGAUGAUUAGAUACCAUCCUAGUCUCAACCAUAAACGAUGCCGACUAGGGAUUGGCGGAUGUUAAUUGAUGACUCCGCCAGCACCUUAUGAGAAAUCAAAGUUUUUGGGUUCCGGGGGGAGUAUGGUCGCAAGGCUGAAACUUAAAGGAAUUG